This 587-nucleotide non-coding RNA is filed under the name Pan troglodytes (chimpanzee). Lineage: Eukaryota; Metazoa; Chordata; Mammalia; Primates; Hominidae. The record is from RNAcentral.
GAACACAAAAUGGCGACACGUGGUUAGCAUUCGUCGCCAACGAGAAAUUGGGGUCGGCCCGAAAGCUCUAGAAUGCACCCCCCUUCUUCCCCGGGGCCUUCCACCUCCGCGAGUUUUAUGACUUAAAAAACCCCACAGGCUGGUCUGAAGAGGAAGACAAACAUAAAGAUGAAGUGCUUAAUUCAAGGUCACACAAUGUCGGGGAUGGACCUCCAGAUUUCCUUACUGAGACGGAGUCUUGCUAUGUUGCCCAGGCUGGUCUUGAACUCCUCACCUCAAGCGAUCCUCUCGUCUUGGCCUCCCAAGUGUCAGGAUUACAGGCAUGUGCUAUCACACCCAACCUGAUACAUUGCCUUUAUAAAUUUUUUUUUCUUUAUUCUAAAAACCAGAAAAAACAAAACUGGAUACAUGUGCAGAACAUGCAGACCAAGUGUGUUGGGGACUUGAGAUGCGUACAUGAGUGUUUGUGAUGUUUCCUGCCGAAAGCACAGGUGAGACGUGGUCUUGUAACACAGUGGUUAAGAAUGUGACUUUGGAGCCAGCCUGCUAGGGGCUGAAUUCUGACUCAGCCAUUUACUAACUGUGUG